Non-coding RNA from Ameiurus melas (black bullhead), 73 nucleotides. Lineage: Eukaryota; Metazoa; Chordata; Actinopteri; Siluriformes; Ictaluridae. The record is from the annotation of a GenBank genome assembly.
CGCACAGUGGCUUGUUGGUUAGCACGUUCGCCUCACAACUGCAGGGUCCUGGGUUCAAGUCCCGACAGGGCCG